RNAcentral lists this small RNA (286 nucleotides) under Papio anubis (olive baboon). RNAcentral's name for it is "Metazoan signal recognition particle RNA (ENSPANG00000048390.1)". Lineage: Eukaryota; Metazoa; Chordata; Mammalia; Primates; Cercopithecidae. The record is from RNAcentral.
GCUGGGCAUGGUGGCACGUACCUGUAGUCCCUGCUACUUGGGAAGCUGAGGCAGGAGAAUCACUUGAACCCAGGAAGUGGAGCUUGCAGUGAGCUGAGAUUGCGCCACUGCACUCCAGCCUGGUGACAGAGUGAGACUCCGUCUCAGAAAAAAGAAAAAGAAUUCUUUUUUUUUUUUUUUUUUGAGACACAGAGUCUCGCUCUGUCGCCCAGGCUGGAGUGCAGUGGCCGGAUCUCAGCUCACUGCAAGCUCCGCCUCCCGGGUUCACGCCAUUCUCCGGCCUCAG